GUGAAUAUAACUUAAUGGUCAAAGUAUCAGGUUGUGAUCCUGAGAAUACGAGUUCGAUUCUCGUUAUUCGCC
RNAcentral lists this transfer RNA (72 nucleotides) under Chloropicon maureeniae. RNAcentral describes it as "tRNA-His". It matches the Rfam family "tRNA". From Rfam's summary of the family: Transfer RNA (tRNA) molecules are approximately 80 nucleotides in length. Their secondary structure includes four short double-helical elements and three loops (D, anti-codon, and T loops). Lineage: Eukaryota; Viridiplantae; Chlorophyta; Chloropicophyceae; Chloropicales; Chloropicaceae. The record is from RNAcentral.